GUGUGAAUGGCACCCGAACCGGGUGGACAAAAGUCUACGACACCCCGAAUGAAAACCCUUCUAUGAAAUAGAAUGACCCUUAAGAACAGAAAAGAUAAGAAGACAAAAGAAAAAGCCAAAUACCAUUUGAAACAUGCUGACAGUUGAGCAAGAUCUGAUGCAGGCCUUCAACCUGUGAACAUACAGCUCUGCAGAGGUAUACUGACAGCACCGACUACAAUAAGGAGUCACAAAAGAAGAGAGAGCAGAGAGGUCCUUUACCUCCCUGAAUUCUGCAUUAAAGAGAAAGAGGGGCACAGAGAAAGAAUCUUUUCCAAUGUCAUACAGCCAUAAUAUACAGGUACCAAUCUAAUUAGGAGUCAAAGGUCACAUCCAGCGUCAGACUUCAGGCUGUUUCUGCAGGAAGCUAAAUGGAAGGAUAUGGUUAUGGGCAAUUUUUCUGAAGAACUUUAUGAGUUUUAUUUCCAUGUAUUAGUAGAAAUGAC
This is a long non-coding RNA of Cyprinus carpio carpio, 485 nucleotides long. The record is from Ensembl. Lineage: Eukaryota; Metazoa; Chordata; Actinopteri; Cypriniformes; Cyprinidae.